GUAAAGAAAACCCCCACCGUAGAUUGUGGGACAUAUACCAAGAACAUCGUCUACAAAGAGGUCCUAACAAAUUAGACCCAUGGUAAGAGUUGCAUGUUCAGCUAACAAACUAAUAGGAUGAUGUUUGUCUUAUGUUUGAUUGGUCUGGUGUAUUAUCAAGUCAUGUUUGCAUGCUACAAUUGUUUUUAUUAGAGACGCACAUGUUUGUGUAUUAUUAGAGCAUGCAUACUAUCUUAAAGUAUUGUUGAGUUUUGGAUCAUUUGUGAAAUUAGCAAUAAUAAUUUUUAUGCAUCUAACAAUUUGUUAUGAAUGUAGGUUUUUGUCCCGCGAGAAUGGAAUCUCUAUUUGUAGGCUUGUCUCAUAACAAGCCAAAAAAAUCGGUGGCAACCGCAAUAGUUCGAGAAGACUAUAUUUGCACGCAAGGUGAUCUUGCUCUCAUCGAUUUUAUCAAGGAAAUCCCUUGUGAACCAAGGGUAGAAGUCGUUCUUAUUGAUGAUGCCUUUGUUGAAAGGAAGUGGAUGGAGUGUUUAUUUCAGCCGAGCGCAUAUUUAGGUGACGAGGUUAUAGACUGUUACAUAAAUUUGAUAAAAGCUCAAAAGCAUCUAAAGUGCUGAUCUGGAGGUCGCGUUCACAUAGAAAAUGCUUUCCAAUUCAAUUUCCUGAAGCGAGAUGGUGAUCUUGAAAUUAAAACAGAGGAGCUAUAUCCAAUUAAAGACAUGACACACAUAUGUAGCGCUGAACGAAGGGUGUUACUUUACCUAGACCAUGACAUGGUGUUUAUUCCGAUAAACAUCCGAGAGACGCAUUGGUAUCUUGCUGUGAUCCAUGCAAGAAAUAUGGAGAUACAAGUGCUCGAUUCACUUGGUACUUCACAAGACCGCAAAGACCUCA
Zea mays is the source of this 891-nucleotide long non-coding RNA. RefSeq lists it as uncharacterized. The transcript has 4 exons. NCBI's taxonomy places the organism in Eukaryota, Viridiplantae, Streptophyta, Magnoliopsida, Poales, Poaceae. The record is from RefSeq and is a predicted model, not a curated record.